RNAcentral lists this long non-coding RNA (801 nucleotides) under Malus domestica (apple). RNAcentral's name for it is "long non-coding RNA (MDOM_LNC003014)". Lineage: Eukaryota; Viridiplantae; Streptophyta; Magnoliopsida; Rosales; Rosaceae. The record is from RNAcentral.
AUGAUUUGCAUGAAACUUAUGCCAAGAAUUUACUUAACGUGAUUGUGACUAGCAACCUUCACUACUUGUGAAUAUAAGUUCAUAACGAUUAGGUGAAACUCCCUUAUAUUCUAGCGUCAAAUUCAUGCAUGAAAAUUAAGCGUGCACUCUCAACCAACAUACACAAAUUAGUUUUUAUACGAACGGAUAAGUAAAUUGAAUUCACAAUUCAAGAAACGCAAUUGGAAGUAAUCAAAUCAUAUAGCAAGAAUAAACAUGGUUUUGAAUCCCCCCCUAGCCAAGGGGGGGUUUAGUUCCUCAUUAUUACAAAACAAAGAUAAACAAAUUUAACCAUUGAAAAACAAAGGGAAGAAAGCACCUAAACGUUCCAACGAUCCAUGUUGGAUAGCAAGCGCGUCCAAGGACUUUUUACUUCUCCUUGCCGCCACAACAAGGUUGGAAUGAUGUUGAAGGGUUGGUUAUUUGGAGGAAUGGAUGGGAAGGGGUUUAGAUAUGUAGGAUAGGCAAGGAAAGGCUUGGAGAAUGGUUAAUUUCUGGAUGCUUUGAAUGAGGUUGCUGCCAUGGUAUUUAUAGGAAGAGGAUGGACAUGUUUAAUGCAAAAAUCUGGUGGAAUGAAGUAGGUAAGGCAUGGCAAGGUGGAGAAUUGUUGGUGAGGGUAGGUUUUGAGUCAUCCACUCACAUGUCAUGGUGAGUUAAGCAUUGCAUCAUCCACUCAAAUGUCAUGGUGAGUUAAGCAUUACAUCAUCCACUCAAAUGUCAUAGUGAGAUAGGCAUUGCAUCAUCACUAAAAAAAUCUGGUGG